This 460-nucleotide small RNA is filed under the name Pan troglodytes (chimpanzee). RNAcentral describes it as "retained intron". The record is from RNAcentral. Lineage: Eukaryota; Metazoa; Chordata; Mammalia; Primates; Hominidae.
UGCGGGCCAGGGGUACUCGGAAGGCGCGGGCAGGAGCCUGGCGAGGAUGCACCUUCCCCUGCCUUGGAAAGUGACGGACACCAGAUUGCCCCCAACUUCCCAUCCUCAGGAAUAAGACUGCAACGAGCACCCUGCGCAGUGUGAGACCCAAGUGACAGGCCACAGGAGGGCACUCGCUAGCCAUGGGGCAUGCAACAUACAGCUCUGAAUUUGCUGCUUUCCAGAAUAGCCUUAGUAGCUUCACAGUCUUGGUACUUGGAAUUCUCUCACUCUGGAAUAAUUAUCUCCUGGGAUCUUAAAGCGUUUUCUCCUGCUCAACAGCGAGGUCUUAACUCAAAUAUCACUGUCUCAGAGAGGCCUUCCCAAUCUCACAGUUACCCCACAACCCACCCUCCCCAGGUUACUCUGUAAUUUUUACGUGAACAGGGUUUCACUCUGUUGCGCAGGCUGGAGUACAGUA